This 1237-nucleotide ribosomal RNA is filed under the name Staphylococcus pseudintermedius. RNAcentral describes it as "partial 23S ribosomal RNA". It matches the Rfam family "Bacterial large subunit ribosomal RNA", at positions 1471 to 2707 of the family's 2925-position model. The record is from RNAcentral. Lineage: Bacteria; Bacillati; Bacillota; Bacilli; Caryophanales; Staphylococcaceae.
GACGCAGUAGGAUAGGCGAAGCGUGCUGUUGGAGUGCACGUCCAAGCAGUGAGAUUGAGUGUUAGGCAAAUCCGGCACUCUUAAGAUUGAGCUGUGAUGGGGAGAGGAACUUGUUCCUCGAGUCGUUGAUUUCACACUGCCGAGAAAAGCCUCUAGCUAGAAUAACGGUGCCCGUACCGCAAACCGACACAGGUAGUCAAGAUGAGAAUUCUAAGGUGAGCGAGCGAACUCUCGUUAAGGAACUCGGCAAAAUGACCCCGUAACUUCGGGAGAAGGGGUGCUCUUUGAGGUUCACGCUUCGAAGAGCCGCAGUGAAUAGGCCCAAGCGACUGUUUAUCAAAAACACAGGUCUCUGCUAAACCGUAAGGUGACGUAUAGGGGCUGACGCCUGCCCGGUGCUGGAAGGUUAAGAGGAGUGGUUAGCGCAAGCGAAGCUACGAAUCGAAGCCCCAGUAAACGGCGGCCGUAACUAUAACGGUCCUAAGGUAGCGAAAUUCCUUGUCGGGUAAGUUCCGACCCGCACGAAAGGCGUAACGAUUUGGGCACUGUCUCAACGAGAGACUCGGUGAAAUCAUAGUACCGGUGAAGAUGCCGGUUACCCGCGACAGGACGGAAAGACCCCGUGGAGCUUUACUGUAGCCUGAUAUUGAAAUUCGGUACAGUUUGUACAGGAUAGGUAGGAGCCUUAGAAGCGUGAGCGCUAGCUUACGUGGAGGCAUUGGUGGGAUACUACCCUAAUUGUAUUGGAUUUCUAACCCGCAGCACUUAUCGUGCUGGGAGACAGUGUCAGGCGGGCAGUUUGACUGGGGCGGUCGCCUCCUAAAGAGUAACGGAGGCGCUCAAAGGUUCCCUCAGAAUGGUUGGAAAUCAUUCAUAGAGUGUAAAGGCAUAAGGGAGCUUGACUGCGAGACCUACAAGUCGAGCAGGGUCGAAAGACGGACUUAGUGAUCCGGUGGUUCCGCAUGGAAGGGCCAUCGCUCAACGGAUAAAAGCUACCCCGGGGAUAACAGGCUUAUCUCCCCCAAGAGUUCACAUCGACGGGGAGGUUUGGCACCUCGAUGUCGGCUCAUCGCAUCCUGGGGCUGUAGUCGGUCCCAAGGGUUGGGCUGUUCGCCCAUUAAAGCGGUACGCGAGCUGGGUUCAGAACGUCGUGAGACAGUUCGGUCCCUAUCCGUCGUGGGCGUAGGAAAUUUGAGAGGAGCUGUCCUUAGUACGAGAGGACCGGGAUGGACAUACC